GCUCUAUACCCUUUGUGAACAUACCUAUAACUGUUGCUUCGGCGGGUAGGGUCUCCGCGACCCUCCCGGCCUCCCGCCUCCGGGCGGGUCGGCGCCCGCCGGAGGAUAACCAAACUCUGAUUUAACGACGUUUCUUCUGAGUGGUACAAGCAAAUAAUCAAAACUUUUAACAACGGAUCUCUUGGUUCUGGCAUCGAUGAAGAACGCAGCGAAAUGCGAUAAGUAAUGUGAAUUGCAGAAUUCAGUGAAUCAUCGAAUCUUUGAACGCACAUUGCGCCCGCCAGCAUUCUGGCGGGCAUGCCUGUUCGAGCGUCAUUUCAACCCUCAAGCUCUGCUUGGUGUUGGGGCCCUACAGCUGAUGUAGGCCCUCAAAGGUAGUGGCGGACCCUCCCGGAGCCUCCUUUGCGUAGUAACUUUACGUCUCGCACUGGGAUCCGGAGGGACUCUUGCCGUAAAACCCCCCAAUUUUCCAAAGGUUGACCUCGGAUCAGGUAGGAAUACCCGCUGAACUU
RNAcentral lists this ribosomal RNA (512 nucleotides) under Colletotrichum gloeosporioides. RNAcentral's name for it is "eukaryotic LSU rRNA". The stretch from base 162 to 315 matches the Rfam family "5.8S ribosomal RNA". Lineage: Eukaryota; Fungi; Ascomycota; Sordariomycetes; Glomerellales; Glomerellaceae. The record is from RNAcentral.